CAGCCGCCGCGGUAAUACGAGGGGUGCGAGCGUUAAUCGGAAUUACUGGGCGUAAAGCGUGCGCAGGCGGUUCGUUAAGACAGAUGUGAAAUCCCCGGGCUUAACCUGGGAACUGCAUUUGUGACUGGCGAGCUAGAGUAUGGCAGAGGGGGGUAGAAUUCCACGUGUAGCAGUGAAAUGCGUAGAGAUGUGGAGGAAUACCGAUGGCGAAGGCAGCCCCCUGGGCCAAUACUGACGCUCAUGCACGAAAGCGUGGGGAGCAAACAGGAUUAGAUACCCCCGUAGUCCCUGUCUCUUAUAC
RNAcentral lists this ribosomal RNA (301 nucleotides) under uncultured bacterium. RNAcentral's name for it is "partial 16S ribosomal RNA". It matches the Rfam family "Bacterial small subunit ribosomal RNA", at positions 509 to 807 of the family's 1533-position model. The record is from RNAcentral.